This is a long non-coding RNA of Carassius carassius (crucian carp), 2317 nucleotides long. RefSeq lists it as uncharacterized. NCBI's taxonomy places the organism in Eukaryota, Metazoa, Chordata, Actinopteri, Cypriniformes, Cyprinidae. The record is from RefSeq and is a predicted model, not a curated record. The transcript has 4 exons.
AAUAGCCCGAUAUUUAAUUCCCCUGGUGAUUUUUCCCUUGAAGUUUUUACUAUGAUGCAGUAAUGCUUGCUGUCUCCUUUAAGAGUUUGAUCAUAUGCACGAGAAAGUGUGUGCGUCAGAGGUGAACAGAGAGCACACUGAUAGAAGCAGCAGUUACAAAUGAGGAGAAAAUAGUUGAUUAGAAAUUGCUAAACGGAUAUAAUCCAGGUUAAUUAUCAACUUGUGGACCUGUGGUGGUUUCAGUUGUGUGACUGCACGAGUAGAUGACUUAAUUCAGUGUUUAUAUUAGUGUUUGUUGCUGCAUAUGAGAAAUCUCCGGUGGGGGAGGGGAUUCAGGCCUACUUCAACGGAGAUUGAGCAAGGGAAUGCAAGAUUGUGAGAUCGCACGUGCCAGUUUCCACAUGAUUGAUAAUCCAAAGUCUCAUAUAACAGCACAUAUAAGCCACUGCCGUUGUUUUCACACCUUUAUUGGUUCUUUAACAUUGAUUGCACUAUUUCAAGUCAAAUUGGGACUUAUGAUCUGGUGUUUUGAUUAGAGAUUAUUACUGUAAAGGACUUAUUUUUAUUAUUUACAUUUCUUCAUAUAUGUUAUUUCACUUUCUGUGCCCAUUGAAGUGAACUGGGUAACAUCAUUUGUUUUGUUAUUCUGUUUUAUACAACUUCUCUUGUUUAAUUGGAUCUGAGUCCUAAGAAAAAGCUAUUUUUCCCUGAACCAAACAUUUAAUGCUGGGUCUUCUUGUGGGGCUCAGUCAAGAAUAAAAGAAUCCUUUUUUUAGUAGAUGUCUUGGCAUUGUCUCUUUCUUUUUCAGGUAUUAAGGACGUCAAGCCGGCCACAUCUCAUUUUCGAUGAUUUCUUUUUGUUACAAUAGUGCAAAAGUAGAAGGGUGUAAACAACGGUAGUGGUGAAGGGUGACUGAUUGCUGGAAGGACCUGCAGUGACAUCCUGACAGAAGUGCCGGCAGGACAAAGGGCCAGCACACCAAGUCUGCUGUGUGAGGACUUCGAGGAGGACAGUGCUUGUUUAAGUGACUAUUGGAGAACUGAGAUUUUCUGUGACUAUCGCUCAAAGUCAUGGAUGCUGAGGACAUGGACGGCGCAGCUGCUAUGGCGGAGGACAUUCAAGGUGCAGGUACUGCAGCACCGGAAAUGGACAUUGAGGGAGGUAACCCAGUCUCACAGUUUCAGUCUCACAGUUUCAGUCCCAGAUCACGGAGUUGGGGCGUAGACAUGAUGAAGUAAUGUCAGCACUUGCUGACAUGACUAAUGCUCAUACUAGAUCCUAUGUAUAUAUCCCAAGAGAGAGACAAAUUGUACCUUUCAGUGGGGACCCAGGUAAAGACUGCCAAAAUGUUGAGGAGUUCAUUGAGGAAAUUGGGAGGGUUAUACGAGUGAGGGGGUUGGGUACUGAGGAUCAGGUAGAUUUUAUCCUCUCCCACUUAAAGGGUUCAGCACUAGAAGAAGUCAGGCUGUGUAUGGGGGGGGUAAGCUGAAGAUCUCUUCUCAUAUUUGAGGGUAGCUUUCAGGGAAAAGCGUAGCACCUCCCAGUUGUUGUACACAUUUUAUGCAUGAAAACAAUUUGACGGUGAGUAUUUUUGUGAUUUUUCACAUGCACUGUCAUUGAUGUUAAAUGCUGCACUGCAACAAGCACCACAUUGUGUUCCAAAUAUGCAGCUGGCUUUGAGAGACCAGUUCAUAGAAGGGGUGAGGGAUUCAGCACUCCGGAGGGAACUGCGCAAAGUGGUUAGAGAGUGGCCUCAUGCUAUAUUAUUUGAAGUUCGUGAGGAGGCCCUGUUGUGGUGCUCAGAAGAGAGACCUCGUCCAGCUAAUGUGGUCCGAAACCUAGUGAGUGUGGAAGAAAGUGUAGAGCAUUCAAGGAUGACUGCCACUGUACCAAAUGACUUGACUGUAGCCCUACAAGAAGUAAUUAAGGUGAUUACACAAUAAGGGAAGGCUAUCGGGGACUUUACCAACGCUGUCCGUGAUCUCACGAUUCAAAGGUCUGACCCAACUUGUGAAAAAACUAGUAAGCCCAGGUUCAAGCCAAGGUAUACCCGAGACGGCCAACCCAUUUGUUCGAGAUGUGAGGGCAUUGGGCACAUAGUCAGGCAAUGCACUGGGCAGCGCUUUCAGGAACGCCCUGAGCCAGCAAUGUUUGAGUCUCCAUUUCCGGGAAACGGCGCACCUCCAUUGUGAAGAGCCGAGCAAUGAGAGGUGGAAUUGAUGGCUCAAAGACUAACACACUGACAAAAGAGUAGUUUCUGGAGCAUGUAGUGGGCAAAUGCCAAGAAGUGGAAAUACAUACUGGGGGGGUAGCAGU